This 653-nucleotide ribosomal RNA is filed under the name Pseudomonadota bacterium. Its description in RNAcentral is "bacterial SSU rRNA". It matches the Rfam family "Bacterial small subunit ribosomal RNA", at positions 28 to 729 of the family's 1533-position model. The record is from RNAcentral. Lineage: Bacteria; Pseudomonadati; Pseudomonadota.
AGCGAACGCUGGCGGCAGGCUUAACACAUGCAAGUCGAACGCCCCGCAAGGGGAGUGGCAGACGGGUGAGGAACACGUGGGAACGUACCCUUCGGUUCGGAAUAACUCAGGGAAACUUGUGCUAAUACCGGAUACGUCCGAAAGGAGAAAGAUUUAUCGCCGAAGGAUCGGCCCGCGUCUGAUUAGCUUGUUGGUGAGGUAACGGCUCACCAAGGCGACGAUCAGUAGCUGGUCUGAGAGGAUGAUCAGCCACACUGGGACUGAGACACGGCCCAGACUCCUACGGGAGGCAGCAGUGGGGAAUAUUGGACAAUGGGGGCAACCCUGAUCCAGCCAUGCCGCGUGAGUGAUGAAGGCCUUAGGGUUGUAAAGCUCUUUUGUCCGGGAAGAUAAUGACGGUACCGGAAGAAUAAGCCCCGGCUAACUUCGUGCCAGCAGCCGCGGUAAUACGAAGGGGGCUAGCGUUGCUCGGAAUCACUGGGCGUAAAGCGCACGUAGGCGGGCUUUUAAGUCGGAGGUGAAAUCCCAGGGCUCAACCCUGGAACUGCCUUCGAUACUGGAAGUCUUGAGUCCGGAAGAGGUGAGUGGAACUCCGAGUGUAGAGGUGAAAUUCGUAGAUAUUCGGAAGAACACCAGUGGCGAAGGCGGCUCAC